This 106-nucleotide small nucleolar RNA is filed under the name Notamacropus eugenii (tammar wallaby). RNAcentral's name for it is "Small nucleolar RNA SNORA38 (ENSMEUG00000017049.1)". It matches the Rfam family "Small nucleolar RNA SNORA38". From Rfam's summary of the family: ACA38 is a member of the H/ACA class of snoRNA that guide the sites of modification of uridines to pseudouridines. The record is from RNAcentral. Lineage: Eukaryota; Metazoa; Chordata; Mammalia; Diprotodontia; Macropodidae.
ACCUCCCACAAAGGCGUGUCUGUGGCUUCCCAUCUAUAGAUACGUAAGAACUGGAGGCAAAGAAAUGAGGGCUAGGAAAAGUUCAGGGCUAGCAUACCCUACCUUA